GCACAGAUGAUGGAAAAAUAACUCUUUAGAAAAGAAUGACAUGAACAAAGGAACCACUGAUGUGC
Small nucleolar RNA from Pteropus vampyrus (large flying fox), 65 nucleotides. Its record names the gene SNORD42. It matches the Rfam family "Small nucleolar RNA SNORD42". From Rfam's summary of the family: snoRNA U42 is found in intron 3 of the ribosomal protein L23a (RPL23a) gene in humans and is also present in mice. Lineage: Eukaryota; Metazoa; Chordata; Mammalia; Chiroptera; Pteropodidae. The record is from Ensembl.